UACAGAGGUCUCAAGCGUUGUUCGGAUUCAUUGGGCGUAAAGGGUGCGUAGGUGGUGACGCAAGUCUGGUGUGAAAUCUCGGAGCUCAACUCCGAAAUUGCACCGGAUACUGCGUGACUCGAGGACUGUAGAGGAGAUCGGAAUUCACGGUGUAGCAGUGAAAUGCGUAGAUAUCGUGAGGAAGACCAGUUGCGAAGGCGGAUCUCUGGGCAGUUCCUGACGCUGAGGCACGAAGGUCAGGGGAGCAAACGGG
RNAcentral lists this ribosomal RNA (253 nucleotides) under uncultured bacterium. Its description in RNAcentral is "partial 16S ribosomal RNA". It matches the Rfam family "Bacterial small subunit ribosomal RNA", at positions 524 to 776 of the family's 1533-position model. The record is from RNAcentral.